RNAcentral lists this ribosomal RNA (301 nucleotides) under uncultured bacterium. RNAcentral's name for it is "partial 16S ribosomal RNA". It matches the Rfam family "Bacterial small subunit ribosomal RNA", at positions 509 to 807 of the family's 1533-position model. The record is from RNAcentral.
CAGCCGCCGCGGUAAUACAGAGGGUGCGAGCGUUAAUCGGAUUUACUGGGCGUAAAGCGUGCGUAGGCGGCUUUUUAAGUCGGAUGUGAAAUCCCUGAGCUUAACUUAGGAAUUGCAUUCAAUACUGGGAAGCUAGAGUAUGGGAGAGGAUGGUAGAAUUCCAGGUGUAGCGGUGAAAUGCGUAGAGAUCUGGAGGAAUACCGAUGGCGAAGGCAGCCAUCUGGCCUAAUACUGACGCUGAGGUACGAAAGCAUGGGGAGCAAACAGGAUUAGAGACCCCGGUAGUCCCUGUCUCUUAUAC